GAUCCCAUCGAUUAGUGGUUAGAUCAUCACGUUGUGGCUUGUCCGAACCGUGGGGACGCGUGUUCAAUUCACGCUGGGGUCA
This is a non-coding RNA of Botryobasidium botryosum FD-172 SS1, 82 nucleotides long. The record is from the annotation of a GenBank genome assembly. Lineage: Eukaryota; Fungi; Basidiomycota; Agaricomycetes; Cantharellales; Botryobasidiaceae.